Molecule: ribosomal RNA, 445 nt
Filed under: uncultured bacterium
Lineage: Bacteria
Description: partial 16S ribosomal RNA
Rfam family: Bacterial small subunit ribosomal RNA
Source: RNAcentral
GUGAGGAAUAUUGGUCAAUGGACGGAAGUCUGAACCAGCCAAGUAGCGUGCAGGAUGACGGCCCUAUGGGUUGUAAACUGCUUUUAUGCGGGGGUAAAGUGAGUGACGUGUCAUUCAUUGCAAGUACCGCAAGAAUAAGGACCGGCUAAUUCCGUGCCAGCAGCCGCGGUAAUACGGAAGGUCCUGGUGUUAUCCGGAUUUAUUGGGUUUAAAGGGAGCGUAGGCCGUCAGGCAAGCGUGUUGUGAAAUGUCGUGGCUCAACCAUGGACUUGCAGCGCGAACUGCCCGACUUGAGUGCGCAGAAAGCAGGCGGAAUUUGUGGUGUAGCGGUGAAAUGCGUAGAUAUCACGAAGAACCCCGAUUGCGAAGGCAGCCUGCUGUAGCGCUACUGACGCUGAAGCUCGAAAGUGCGGGUAUCGAACAGGAUUAGAAACCCCUGUAGUCC